This 495-nucleotide ribosomal RNA is filed under the name uncultured bacterium. RNAcentral describes it as "partial 16S ribosomal RNA". It matches the Rfam family "Bacterial small subunit ribosomal RNA", at positions 28 to 507 of the family's 1533-position model. The record is from RNAcentral.
GAUGAACGCUGGCGGCGUGCCUAAUACAUGCAAGUCGAACGCUGAAGGAGGAGCUUGCUCUUCUGGAUGAGUUGCGAACGGGUGAGUAACGCGUAGGUAACCUGCCUGGUAGCGGGGGAUAACUAUUGGAAACGAUAGCUAAUACCGCAUGACAACAGUUAUUGCAUGAUAACUGUUUAAAAGGGGCAACUGCUCCACUACCAGAUGGACCUGCGUUGUAUUAGCUAGUUGGUGAGGUAACGGCUCACCAAGGCGACGAUACAUAGCCGACCUGAGAGGGUGAUCGGCCACACUGGGACUGAGACACGGCCCAGACUCCUACGGGAGGCAGCAGUAGGGAAGCUUCGGCAAUGGACGGAAGUCUGACCGAGCAACGCCGCGUGAGGGAAGAAGGGUUUCGGAUCGUAAAGCUCGGUUGUAAGAGAAGAACGAGUGUGAGAGUGGAAAGUUCACACUGUGACGGUAUCUUACCAGAAAGGGACGGCUAACUACGUG